Molecule: long non-coding RNA, 3421 nt
Filed under: Homo sapiens (human)
Lineage: Eukaryota; Metazoa; Chordata; Mammalia; Primates; Hominidae
Description: PREDICTED lncRNA (TCONS_00123225)
Source: RNAcentral
CUGGAAAUGAUGUCAGACGCAGCCACUCCUCUGUUAGAACUACAGCCAAACAAUGCGCAGGCAAUCCACAGCAGCUGCCCCUGCAAAUGUCAGCGCCAGCCCAGUCAAAAGAGCUUGAAACCUACCAAGCCGGAGGACUGUGCUGUGCCUCUCUCGCCCACAUUUUCCCCAAGCACUCUCAGGAACCUGGCAACAGUGUCCCCUUGUGGCCAAGCCUGGAACAUCACAUCUGUACGUUGCAAUCUGUGGAUCAGCUACGAGACUGAGAGAAAGGAAUGAAAGGAUGGAAGAAUUACAAGAUCAGGCACUGCUGUCUGUCUGUUCCACGGAUGUAACCACAGCACACGCGUGGCUCACGGUACUAGUGUGAUAAAUGCUUGUUACAUGAAGGCGUGAACAGGGAUGAGAAGAGACUUCCUGGAGAAACAAAAGGACUAACAAUCAGGAAGGGGAGGUGAUCGGGGCAGGAGUAAAGUGGACACCUCAGCAAAGCCAUUCGCUGUGAUCUCUGAUUGUGCAGUGUCAUGUCCUGUCACCAGAGCCCCCUCGUGUUUGAUGUUGGCCAAUGCCGCCAGCAUGAUCUAGCAGGCCAAAUCCUAAUCUACCAUUCUCUGACACCAGCUGGUCCCCUGGGUCGUCCACCCGAUGUCCCCCAUUCUCCCCACUUGGCCUCCCCCACAGGCUCUCGGCAAAGGACCGUGGGAGGCACCUGUGACACUGCCCUUUUCCUGUGCAGCUGUUUUUCUUCUUCAUUCUUUUCACUCCUCGUUACUCUUUUUUUUUUCACUCUCAGCCCACACAAAACUAGGAACUUUGUUAUUCUACUUAUUUUUCUGUACUCUGUCUGUUUGCACACAGAUGGAUAUCUGAGAGCCAGCGAACUUUCUUUACCUCCUAGUAUCAUUUCAUGAAAAUUAGUAGCACCUGCACAAUGGGGCCUUGGAGACAGGAAUAAAAGGAAAAAUCUGGAAUGGAAUCACAUGACGCAACAGGCUAUGAAGACUCCCUGCCCGGCUGCUAUAUGUCUGGUAAACAGAAUAAAUAGUACUUGAGCAUCCCUGACUCUGAGACUGUGGGGUAGCUGGUUGUUUUAAGAUGGGACCAGGGUAUUGUGCACUUAUUGCCAAUUCUUGCUUCAGUAAGUGGGGUGGCUGUGCAGAGUGAGUGGCCUGUGUAUGAACCAGGGUCCGUCCCAUCUAAUGAGAGUCCGGUCAGGCUGAGUCCUCACCAAGACUUCAGCGUGGAUUCAUCAGUAACCUUGGUUCACUGGCAGGCUUGCUGGACUUUGGAGAAAAGGCUGACCCUCCCCCAAAGCAGCCCAUUGCUGCCACUGCCCUAGGAACAGAGGGCCUGGAGCCAGGGCUUGACCUGGUACAGGAGCUUUUGCACAAGGCCGGCUCAAACCUCCAAACCUGGGGAAACAGGAUGCAUGGUGAAGUGAAGAAGAAAGAAAAUGCAUCCACCGUUCCUUCCUGUUGGUGUCAGCACGAUGAGGAAUAAUUACCUGGAUCUGGAAAGCAGGCGUGUGGGAGGCUGCAGGCCCCCCUGAUCUGUGUAGUUAGGCACUUAAUUUUUCAUCCUCCUCCUUCUCUCUGCCCUCCCGAAACCGCCGUUUUCAAAGGAAAAACAGAAAAACGUAUCUGGGUAACCCGUGUAAUACUGUUUACAUCAGCCCACUUGGCCCAGAAAGGAUACCAGCUCCUUACUGAUGCUCAGAUAACAGGGUUAGUGCUUAAAAAAAUUAUGCCUUGGGCCGGGUGCGGUGGCUCACGCCUAUAAUCCCAGCACUUUGGGAGGCUGAGGUGGGUGGAUCACAAGGUCAAGAGAUCAAGACCAUCCUGGCCAACCAACAUAGUGAACCUGUCUCUACUAAAAAUACAAAAAGUAGCUGGGCGUAGUGGCGCAUGCCUGUAGUCCCAGCUGCUCGGGAGGCUGAGGCAGGAGAGUCGUUUAGGCCUGGCAGGCGGAGGUUGCAGUGAGCUGAGAUUGCGCCACACUGCACUCCAGCCCAGGCGGUGGAGUGAGUCUCCAUCUCAAAAAAAAAAAUUCUGUCUCAUUCAUUAUCCAACUUUGUCACUGAUAGAGAAGGACAUAGAUCCAGAGAAGAACUUGUCCAGGUGACCCCAGGGCUCUUUCCCCCUCCAUUACUUUUUUUUUUUUUUUUUUUUGAGCCAGAGUCUGGCUCUGUCACCCAGGCUGGAGUGCAGUGUCACAAUCUUGGCUCACUGCAUCCUCUGCCUCCUGGGUUCAAGCUAUUCUCCUGACUCAGCCUCCCUAGUAGCUGGGAUUACAGGUGCAUGCCACCCCGCCCAGCUAAUUUUUGUAUUUUUAGUAGAGAUGAGGUUUUAACUUGUUAGCCAGGCUGGUCUUGAACUCCUGACGUCAAGCGAUCUGCCUGCCUUGGCCUCCCAAAGUGCUGGGAUUAAGGGCGUGAGCCACCGCGCCCGGUCCCCUCCAUUACUCCUUAAGUGUCCCUUAAAGACUGUAUUUAUUUAUUUGAAACAGAGUCUUGCUCUGUCACCCAGGCUGUUGUGCAGUGGCAUGAUCUUGGCUCACUGCAACCUUCUGCCUCAGCCUCCUGAGUACCUGAGACUACAGGCGGGCGCCACCACACCCGGCUAAUGUUUGUCUUUUUGGUAGAGAUGGGGGUUUCACCAUGUUGGCCAGGCUGGUCUCGAACUCCUGAUCUCAAGUGAUCUGCCCCCUUCAGCCUCCCAAAGUGCUGGGAUUACAGGCGUGAGCCACUGCGCCCAGCAAAGACUGUGUUUAAAAUACUACCUUUCUGUUAGGUACUUGUCAUUUGCCAAAAUUAAAUAAAAACAGUCUAGGAACCUAGGAACCUGUGAAGUCAGUACUAAAAUCUAUACCAAUUUACUCCACAAACCCCCAUCCUCCUCCUCGUUGGUUGAGUGUUUAAUAAAGCCAGGCGCUUUACCUAUAGUCUCAUUAAAUUAAAAACAAUCCUGCAUAGGAAGUCAGGAUCUCAAUUUUGCAGAUGAAAAGGAGGCUUAUCUGGGCAUGCCCAGCAAGGUCUGGGGAACGCCCCUUAAUGGAGUACUUGAAUUUGUCUGCAGGGAGAGGUGGCAUCACCGCACUGUAAAUAGUUUCCGAGGUCAAGUUUGGCUAGUGGCUUUUAGAAUUGGGGCAGAAGGAUGCCAUCCUACUCCCACCUUCAGAGGCAUCUCAGGUUCUGGAGCUCUGUGCUAACUAAGCCCACCUGUGGAGGGUGGCAAUGGAGUGGUGACAGGCGUGCAAGGUUUCACGUCUUUAAAGAAAAGACAGCUCCAAGGACAGAGAGUUUUUUGUUGUUUGUUUUGUUUUUUGAGACAGUCUCACUCUGUUGUCAGGCUAGAGUGUAGUGGCGCGAUCUCGGCUCACUGCAACCUCCACCUCCCGGGUUCAAGCGAUUCCCCUGCCUCAG